RNAcentral lists this long non-coding RNA (2115 nucleotides) under Nicotiana tabacum (common tobacco). RNAcentral's name for it is "long non-coding RNA (NTAB_LNC000881)". The record is from RNAcentral. Lineage: Eukaryota; Viridiplantae; Streptophyta; Magnoliopsida; Solanales; Solanaceae.
UCCCUAUUUAUUUUCAAUAAUCUGAAGCAGCAAAGAAGCAAUUCGUUGCAAAUUGGUUUGCAAACGCUGGUUUUCUCUAAUCUCCUCUCAUUACUUCGUCCCCUGUUUCGUUAACAAUUGCAAUACUAAUGGUAAACUCUGCUCCCCUUUGCUCUUGUUUUACUUGAUGGAAAUUAUCUAAAAUAUGUAGAGUUUCUGCACGGUAAGGUUUAUCAAAUCGUGUGGGUUUAGGGUUUUUCUAUGCGGGUCGGCCCAAUGAUCAUUCACUUAGUUUGGAAGCAUCCUGUGGUGACUUAAUUUUAUUCUCUGAUAGAAAUUACUCUGCUAUGAGUUAUUAUAUCUGUAAUAUUCUCACUAGGCAAUGGAUUGUUCUUCCUCCAGCUCCUCCAGAAAGAGGGGUUUUUGGUGAGAGCGUUGGGUUCUUGUACGAGCCUUUGGAUAAUGAUGAUCGACACUAGAUGUGGCAAACAUGCGGGUCGGGUCGUAUAUGAGACGAGUCGAAAAUGGGUAGUGCAAAAACAGAUAAAUUAUCCAACCCGGUCCAUAUUUAAUACGGAUAAAAAAUGGAUUAACUGGCGGAUAAUGUGAUUAUCCAUAUUGUCCAUGACUUCUUGAAUAUGAUCACUUUUGGAAAAAUUACUAAUCUCCCAAACUUGAGAAACCCUCGAUUUGAGGCUUUACAAAUAUAAAAAUUAAACUCAUUAGUUAUCCAUUGGUUAUUUAUUUUCUAAGUGGAUAAUAUAGUUCUUAUUCAUAUUUGAUCCGUUUUUAAAAAAUUCAUUAUUCAACCCAUUUUUAAUAGAUAAUAUGGGUGGAUAACUAUUUUCUUUUAUCCAUUUUGCCACCACUAAUCGACACAAUAAGUAUCUGAAGGCGUUACGAUUUAUUCCUUGUGAUAGGUAUUCUCAUGAAGGCAAUUCUAUGUUUAUUGUCGAGAUAUUUUCGCCCAACAAGAGCAAUUAGACCAAACUUGUUGUUAUGUCUCCGCGGAUUUUGAAAAGUUCGGGUUCUAAGACUUCGAUUAUUGCCUGCGGACGGACGUUAUAUACAUUGAAUUAUAGCAAUGGCAUUACGGUUAAUUGUAUUCUCACGUUUGAUCCAUUCACUAAUGAUCCUGCUCAGUUCCUAUGCGUUAUUGAUUUACCACCUGAGGCUCGUGAUAUUCGUUGUAUGGCCAGCGAAUUGGGAGUGUGUCGAGGUUGUUUACAUCUUGCUCGAGUAAAUCUCCAACCAAGUACAUACCCUUGUAUAAGUGUAUGAGAGCUUGAGGAUUACAGAAGGGGAAAUGGACGUUGGUACACAAGAGAAUCCGGACGAACAAGGCAUUAAGAGUGCCCCUAUUUCGUUGUGAUACCAAGAAUUUGAUUUAUGUACUAGCUUUUCUCCCAAAUAAUGUGGAUCUUAUAUGUUUUCGUGCAGGUAAUUAUCAUGUUGUCGUGUACAAUAUACAAACAGAUAAAGUGGAAAGCUCUACCCGCUAUUCUCUAUUCACGCUGCAUGAUCCACCAAGAUUACUAGUAUCAGAUGUGUUACCAAUUGCCAAAAAUGGUGGCCAACUCCGGUAAGACAUCCCUUUGAUCUCAGAGCUUCCUAUCAAAGAGUGAGUCUUGGUCAUUUGGAUUAGAGUUGUUGAUGAUCAUUCUUAUCUUUUUCUUCUUCUUGUCCAUAUUUAGUUCAUUCAGGAUGUUUUAGGCCAUAUGAUGUAGUGUUGAAAUACAAGCAUAUUUUUUUUUUUAUGAAGUAAGUAGGAUAUAAUAUAAAAAGGCAUCAAGAAGAUGCAAUAAGGUUAUACAAGAAGUGAGUUUGUCAGUUCAUUUAUAAUUUAAGUGCUACAAAACUAGAGAGCUGACAAAAUCAAAAAUAAAAAUAAAAAUUAGAGUCAUUUACAGCAGUGAGGUUAGCCCAGUGAAACAAGUUAAUCAAACAUUUAGCCUUAAAGGAGCAUAUUGAAGUUGAUAACCCAUCAAAACAUCUACUAUUCCUUUCGGUCCAAAUACACCAAAAAAUACUUGCAGGUACUAUAUUCCAGAUUUUCCUGAUGGCUCUGUCAACUUUCUUUGAACUGCAGCUCACAUAGGCAUCUCUGACAGAGGAGCAUAGUCCAAUGCAAACCAA